This 486-nucleotide long non-coding RNA is filed under the name Coturnix japonica (Japanese quail). RNAcentral describes it as "lncRNA (ENSCJPG00005019447.1)". The record is from RNAcentral. Lineage: Eukaryota; Metazoa; Chordata; Aves; Galliformes; Phasianidae.
GGAGGCAGGACAGCCCCCAGCUGAGUCCUCAGACGGAGGUGAGAGAGUCAGGGAAAAGGAGCGGGGGUAGGAACAGGGUUGGAGUAGGUGACUCACUCGUGUUGUCAGCAGCAGCGACCCGAUCUCUGUGGGUAAAGGCACGGGGGAGGAAGUGCUGAGACGCUGGAGCUUGUUGUUUCCACAGCAAGUGAAAAGUCAUGAACAAAGGUUAUUGAAAAGAUCACUGAAAAGAAGAAUUUUGAUCCCUAAGGAAAGACUUGUGAGUAAAUAUGUCUUUAUGUUUCUCCAGCUGUUGAGAUUUACUUUUCAUAUCCUUCCCCAUUUUUCAGCAAUUUCACAUUCCCUCAAUCCUCAAUCAUCAAAAUGUCCUGUGUUUUUGUAAGAGAGACAGCCCUUGCUCUGCAUAUGUCAUAUGAUGGGAAAAAAAAAAAAAAAAAAAAAAAAAAAAAGAAUAAAAAAAAAAAGGUACAGUUUGCUUUUUGCUGA